AGUGAACGCUAGCGGUAGGCCUAACACAUGCAAGUCGAACGGCAGCACAGUAAGAGCUUGCUCUUACGGGUGGCGAGUGGCGGACGGGUGAGGAAUACAUCGGAAUCUACUUUUUCGUGGGGGAUAGCGUAGGGAAACUUACGCUAAUACCGCACACGACCUACGGGUGAAAGCAGGGGAUCUUCGGACCUUGCGCGAUUGAAUGAGCCGAUGUCGGAUUAGCUAGUUGGCGGGGUAAAGGCCCACCAAGGCGACGAUCCGUAGCUGGUCUGAGAGGAUGAUCAGCCACACUGGAACUGAGACACGGUCCAGACUCCUACGGGAGGCAGCAGUGGGGAAUAUUGGACAAUGGGCGCAAGCCUGAUCCAGCCAUACCGCGUGGGUGAAGAAGGCCUUCGGGUUGUAAAGCCCUUUUGUUGGGAAAGAAAAGCAGCAGGCUAAUACCCCGCUGUUCUGACGGUACCCAAAGAAUAAGCACCGGCUAACUUCGUG
This 492-nucleotide ribosomal RNA is filed under the name uncultured bacterium. RNAcentral describes it as "partial 16S ribosomal RNA". It matches the Rfam family "Bacterial small subunit ribosomal RNA", at positions 29 to 507 of the family's 1533-position model. The record is from RNAcentral.